Long non-coding RNA from Passer domesticus (house sparrow), 2570 nucleotides. RefSeq lists it as uncharacterized. The record is from RefSeq and is a predicted model, not a curated record. The transcript has 3 exons. NCBI's taxonomy places the organism in Eukaryota, Metazoa, Chordata, Aves, Passeriformes, Passeridae.
AAGAGCAGUUGACAAAAUGAGGAGAUGGGAACCUGUCCCCAUGGAGACCCCAUCUCCCAGAUGUGCUCCAUGCCCUUAACAAUGGCCCACUGGGGAAAUGGAAUCCCCUGGCUGUGCACGGCUGCCCCCAAUUUACAUUAACAAGCUAAAUUGAUUAUUAGAUGAAGUAAAAAAUGAUGCUGUGAAAAUAUCCAAUAGUACUUCCUGUGAGCUCCAACAAACACAAAUGGGGCUCUGCAGAACCACAUGGCCUUGGAUUAUCUGCUUGCUGGCCGGGGAGGAACCUGGGCUAUUGUAGGACAGGAAUGUUGCAGGGAUGUUUAUCAGUGCUGGGUUUGAGGUCCAGCAAUCAGGAAUCUCCUUGAUAGAAAGAUCAGGAGAAGAGUGGCAGAAAGAAGAAAAUUCUUCCUGGUGGGACUGGCUCCCAAAUUGGAGGCUGCUGUGAAAUGCAUUCAUGGCAGUCACUGUGAUCAUUGCGGUGUGAGCACUUGGUGUGUUAUGGUUCCAUGUUAGAGUUGUUGUGACACCUUGUGCUGGAAAUGGAGUACUGAGAUUUGUCUAAAAAGAGACACAGUCUCAAGAAAAAGUGGGCUAUAAUAAAGAACAUAGAGAAUAACAACUAAUUAGGGCUGUUUUAGUCAGACCCUGCCUGACUGAAGCCUCAACAACAGGCCCCGAGCCAAAGCUGACCUUUAGAUAAACCUUCCAACCAAAUGUUAUAUUUGUAUCUGCUCAUUAAUGAAUCAUUAUUAGCAAUAUGAUCUCUGUAUGUGUUCAUUGGUGAAACAUGGAUUUACCUUUCUGUGUUUGGAAACUGGAGAAGGCCCCAUCUGGCUUUGUUUGGGGCUGUGGGAUCAAAGUCACCUCCCUUGGCUCCUCCUUGAGCCGUGGCCAGGCUUUGGAAGAAGCCAAACAGGAGAAUUAAACCAGUUAUUCCCACACUAGCGCUGAUGUCAGCUUGUUUGUUUAACAGUGUAAAAGCUGUGGCCUCUCACAGUGAGGUUGGAGCCUCACUGGCUGCAAAGGUGGAGGCACCUGCAGGAAUUCCCAGUGUCCAGGAGUGGCUCUCCAGUCUGUGGCUGUGAAAGGGUUAAAAGCACUGUGCCCAGGCAUACUUGGGCAAGAAUAAGAGACAUUGCACCCAGUAUGGACGCUUGCAAAAAUUCAGCCACAAGCUAAAGACACAGGAUGAAACUUUGCAAGAAAUAGGGAACAAAACUGGCAGGAAUGAAGGGCAGAGCUUGCUAAAGCCAGUGAGGAAAUUGCUGAAACAGCCAACAAGAGACUGCGCAUGCCUAGAGGAGAAAGCUGAAAAGGGCACGGUGAUGAAGACGUCCAGCCUUCAUCAGGAGACCCCCGAGGAAGACGCAGAGCCUUCCUCAGUGCCACCACCAGUGUGCACUGCACCUGUGCCUCGUGUAUGCUAAUGAUUGUAAUGAGUGCUGAGAAAUCGUUUAUAUAACCUCACCUUUUCUGAGGAGAAAUAUGAAUAUGCAUAGAGUAUAACUGUAUAUUGUAAUCUGCUGUGUGCCUGUGUGCGCUGUUAGGAGGAGAUAUCCCUGCACACCCAGCAGGCUGAAUAAAGCAAAUCCCCUCCUUGGGCUUUGUCUGGGAAGUGUCUCUUGGCCCGAUUUGGGGCCAUUCACGUCCAUGGGGUUCUGUCAAGUCACAGUGGAACCUUGGUGCCCUGUUGUUGCACAGCCUCACAAUGCUCUCCUGCUGCCAUGAGGUCCCUCCCUUGGUGACACACUGCAGCCCUGGUUCCAUGAGGGGCUCUUGGCUUCCAUGGUGCCGGCCUUUUUCACACCUGAGCCUUGCUUCCAUGGGUUCCAUGGACUGACAGGGGCCCUCUGCAUUCCAUGGGGCCCAGCUAGAUCACAGCAGAGCCUGGCUUUCAUCAGGUUCUGAUACCUGUUCUGCCAGCUGACUGGGGUGAUUUAAAGAACACAGAAACCAAUGGGAAGAGUGGUCUUAUUUUACUGUGAGUGUUAAGGCAACACAAAAGUUAAAUUAUGCAUUCAAUAAAACUACCUGCUUGGCUUUAGCAACAAGCAAAAAGAAGCAAGAGUCUGCAGUUGCUGAAAGGUCCCAUUUCACAGCAAGGACCUGGAGAACUCUUCCAAGAGAUUGGGAAAAUCCCAUGUGGUGCAUCCACCCAUAGGUAACUACACAAGAUUAUGUGGAAGUCUCCACAGCAGCUGGUUUGGUUUUAAACAGCAGCAGAAUCAUAUGGGUCAUCUGUUUUUAGCUCAAUAAAACUGAUGGUGUUAGUCACAUAAUGCCCAGGGUUUGUCCUGUAAGUCAGCUCUGGCUGAGGCUGCCACUCAGGCCUGAGCACAUCAGAAGCUGAAGUGACCACGACUGGGAAUGGCAAAAACACCCCACUGGGACUGGCCCAGAGGCCCCAGGACUCCUUGGCAUGGAUCACCUCAGGAGACAGCAUUUCAGGGAGCCCAAAGGACUUUUGGAAGAGAUGCUGUGGAGACAGAAGAAUUCCACAGCUGAAUCCCUUGCCUGGGCUCCCAGAGGACCCUUCUGCUGUGGGGCUGCUGAGGGUGGAGGAACAGCAG